Molecule: ribosomal RNA, 232 nt
Filed under: uncultured bacterium
Lineage: Bacteria
Description: partial 16S ribosomal RNA
Rfam family: Bacterial small subunit ribosomal RNA
Source: RNAcentral
AACCUGCCUUUCAUGGGGGACAACAGUUGGAAACGACUGCUAAUACCGCAUAAUGUAUUUGUGUCGCAUGGCAUGGAUACCAAAGAUUUAUCGCUGAGAGAUGGCCUCGCGUCUGAUUAGCUAGUUGGUAGGGUAGCGGCCUACCAAGGCGACGAUCAGUAGCCGGACUGAGAGGGUUGGCCGGCCACAUUCGGGACUGAGAUACGGCCCAGACUCCUACGGAAGGCAGCAG